GGAAGAUGAACGUGUCCGGUGGCGCGGCUGGACUUCAAAUCCAGACAGGGGCGUAAUCCGUCCCGGGAGGGUUCGACUCCCUUCAUCUUCC
RNAcentral lists this transfer RNA (91 nucleotides) under hydrothermal vent metagenome. RNAcentral describes it as "tRNA-SeC(p)-TCA". It matches the Rfam family "Selenocysteine transfer RNA". The record is from RNAcentral.